CCCUGCUCUACAACAAUGAGCAGUGUGGCGUCACUGGGGGGAGGAGGGGGAGGGCCACGGCCCCAGCCCCUCGCCUGCUCCCAGCGGUCCCGAGGCCUCCUGUGGGUCCUUCCCAUCCUAGCUCCAGGAGCCCGACCUUGGGCAGGCCAUGAAGGGGCCUGGGGACAGGUCACAACUCCAGCAAGGUCACUUCCUGCCCCUCACUCUGCGGGCCCCCUCCUCCUGAAGAAGGCACUGGUGUUCUAGCCACAGAUAAUUCACAUACCACACAAGUCGCCAAGGUACAGGUGUGUUCAUGGCUUGAGGCGACUCUCACCACAAUCGACUCUGAAACAUUCGCCCGGCCCCACAGACAGUGCCUGUGCCCCUCAGCCAUUCCCACCCCACAAGCACAGCUCCGUCUCUGUAGGCUUCCGUGUUCCAGACACCUCACGGGACACGUGGACGAUGGAGAAGCAUUUCCCACCCAGACCCUCAUGUGAGCUACUCCCCUGAGCCCUCUGCACCUCGGAUCCCGGCUGCUGUUUGGGAGAGCUGACAGAUGCCUUCCUCAAACCGAACGCAGAAAUCUGUCUUGGAAAAGCACUAGCUGGCCCAUCCCCUGCUGGAACAACGGUUUUCUAGAAUGUUCCUGGUCACGCCCCCUGCUUACCUCCAGGAGAGGCCUCGGUACUGAGUAAAGACAUCCAGGAUGUUCCCAGGCUGGGACCCCGCCCCGUUGCCUGCCUGGAAGGGACAAGAAGGGCAACUCACCGUGAGGGAGUCACCCAUGGCGCCUAUGACCUUGAUGUCGGCGGGCUUCAGCCUGUGAACUGAGCAGACAAGCGAGAGUGAACAGACCAGGAGAUUUUCCCAGAAGGCAUGGGACCCAUCUCCCCUGCAG
Oryctolagus cuniculus (rabbit) is the source of this 883-nucleotide non-coding RNA. The record is from RefSeq and is a predicted model, not a curated record. NCBI's taxonomy places the organism in Eukaryota, Metazoa, Chordata, Mammalia, Lagomorpha, Leporidae.